CCUCACAGCCUCUCCUUUACGAGCCUUAAAUUAUUCAGUCGGGAUGCUGUGUCGCGUGAGACGCCGCCUCCCGCCGCUCCAACAAAAGCCGUCCUUAAUGUUUUAUACGGGGGGACAGGAGAUACGCGCUUUCACACAGGCGCGGUCCCGGGGGAGAAGGCGGCGGUGAGCGGGGCCCCGGUUUCUGUCAGCGUAUUUCCCCGGUGACUCCUGGAAGCAGGCAGUAACCCAAAUAUCGAUGCUGGCCUCUGGACGGCUUGUACUAACGUGAACUUCUGAGGUGACUAGCUGAUAUUUCCAUUUGUGGCAGCCUCAAGUGGUUUUGGUUCCUUUGUCAUGAGCAGCACCCCAGGCUGGUUCGUCUGCCCAGAAAAUCACAGAAUCACGGAAUAGAUCAAGUUGGAAGGGACCACAGUGGGUCAUCUGGCCCGACCUCCGUGCUUAAGUAGGGUCAUCCUAGAGCACACAGCACUGGAUUGUGUCCAGACGAUUCUCGUAUUUUUCCAGGGAGACUCCACAGCCUCCCUGGGCAAUCCUUUCUAGUGUGUGGUCACCCCCACAGUAAAGAAGUUCUUCCUCAUAGUUGGGUGGAACUUCCUGUGCAUCAGUUUCUGUCUGUUGCCUCUUGUCCUAUUGCUUGGCACCACUCAACUUGUCUAUGAAGAUGUUGUGAGGGACAAUGUUGAAAGCUUUGCUGAAGUUGAGGUAGACACUAUCCACUACUCUCCUCUCAUCCAUCCAGGUAGUUGUUUCAUUGUAGAAGGCAACCAAGUUGGUUAAGGAUGAUUUCCCUUCAGUGAAUACAUGCUGACUACUCCUGAUCACCAUCUUGUCAUCCAUGUAAGUAGACAUGGCUUCCAGGAUGUGAUGUCCAAUCACCUUUCCAGGACUGAGGUGAGGCUGACUGGCCAGUGGUUCCCUGGGUCCUCCUUCUUGUUCUGUUUGAACACUGUGGUGACAUUUGCAUUCUUCCAGUCCUCAGGCACCUUUCCUGAUCUCCAUGGCCUUUCAAAGAUGAUGAUGGUCAGCAGUCUAGUUAUAUUAUCUGCCAGCUUUUUCAGCACUCAUGGAUGUGUCCUCUCGGGGUCUGUGGACUUGUGGAUGUCAAAUUUCCCUAGGUGUUCUCUAAGUAGUUCCUCCUUGACCAAGGGAAAAUCUUCCUUCCAGCAUUCUUUUACCCAGGUCCACUCAGAGAUCCCCGAUGGCUGGUCUUGCCAGUGAAGACCAGUGCAAAGAAGGUGCACAGGAGCUCUACCUUCUUUGCAUCCUCUGUUACCAGGGUCCCUUUUUCAUUAACAGGCCCAUAUUAUCCUUAGUUUUCCUUUUGUUAUUGAUGUAUUUGUAGACACCCUUCUUGUUGUCCUUGACAUCCUUGGACAGAUUUAAUUCUAACAGCCUUCCUUGUCUCAUUUCUAGUAACUCUGAAAAAAUGACCGAAUAUUGUGCAAAAAAGAUCAAGUAUGACCUACCCUGGCCUUCCCUUGGCUUGUGCUGGUGGAGGUGUGGGGCAAGUUUGUGCCCUCAGGAAGGUUAAAUUUAAGGAAGCAUUUGGCACAAGUUGUCUUGCAUGGCAGGCACAAACUGUGAACAUGCAUAUGAAAAAUGUUUUCACUGCCUGCUUAAUACCCAAGUCAGGUUUUAGUUUGGUGAACUAAUAUUUUCAUAAAGUUAAGAUGGAGUUUGUGGUUGUAAGGAUACAGUCUAAAGAGUGCUAAUCUUGGGAAUGAAAGUUCAUGGUAUCAGCUCUAUAAAAAGGUCUAUUUUCGUGUUUAAUGUGUUAGAAUAUGUUAAUAGAAUUAAUAAUAGACUAUAUUGGUUUCUUCCUAACAGCCAACUGUUCACAUGAGGUAACGGGAGAAUAUGUACACGAUAAUGGCUUCUGUUAGUGAAUAUCUGUGUAGGAGAUAGAUACUAACAUACAUAUUAGAUUAAAAAAUGUAAGAAGCAAAUUAAUCACGUCUGAGUGGCAUUGUUAGGAUUACUUGAAUACUUAGUCUUUUGGAGGUGCAAGAAAUGAAUUUUAGGUAUUGCAAUACAUUCAGGAAAUCAGUGAAAAGAAAGAGGUGUUAAUGGUGAAGAUGUUCAGGACUGCCAUAGUUUCUUGGGCACACAGCAAAUGUGAGAUUGCUGUAUGAUAUUAUCUAGGCUGUCGGUUUAAUUAGCUCCAGUUCAAGAAAAUGCGAAGACUGUAAACCAAGCUGGAUAGAAAGGAAGACAUUUAAAAUGGCUGUAUUUCUGGGAAACACCAUUAGCUAAUAUUUAUGUAUUGUUUAACAUAAAAGUCAAGGCAUAUGUGGAAAAAAAUGAGGUGUAAUUUACAAGAAAGAUUAUUCAGACUUGUUAGGUCCUGCACCUGUGAAACAUUGAUUGCUUCAUUAUGCUUCCCUGUGGAGCACUUGAGCAAACUUGGCACUGCUUUACAGAGCCUCUCCCACUCUCUUAUGCCAGACAGAACCUGUGGCUGUAUACCAGCAUCUCAUUUAUCUAAAGAUAACAGAAUAGGAGCCAUUUUAUCUGGAUUCACUGUGAGUAGAAUUGGAACUGAAAGGAUUAGGCAAGGCAGGGUUGGAAUCCCGUGUCUGUUCAGGCUCAGAACCCUUUUCUGCAGUGCAGCAACCCGUGUGAGGUUUUGUGUUCCCCUCGGAUUUUUCUUAUAUAAGGGUGUACUAGACAUGCAUGGGAUAAUUAGAAUCAGCAGGAAAAGUGACUGCCUACCCCUCAUCUUGUUUUUGGAGGCUUCUCACUGCACUAAAAAUGUAUCUGCUGCUAAUUUAGUCCUAAUUAUGAGGCAGACUUGUGGUUGAAUGACUCCUGUGUAAGGAGGAUAUGCACUUCAGCAGAACAGUUGUGGUUUCUGUAAGUGAGAAUCUGACUUUUAGAUAUUUGAAUAAAUAAAAUCUGCUGUCUUUUGAAUGCUUAGAUUUUCAGUCUGGCAGAUUUAGCUACAGGAGAUAAAUGCUGUUUUGUUCACUCAUCUCCAGAGGUUCCUAUCUCUGCCUCAGUGGUGCAAGAACUGGAAAGGAGUUGCUUGAUCCCCUGGAGCUCAGUCUCUGUUUUGGUUUUGUCUGAUUCUAUUCUCAAGGUGUGCAGAGCUCUCUGAUUUAAAUAAAUCAGUCAAGUUAUUUAGUGUAGAAGAAACUUACUCUCAAAUAAAUUGAUACCUGGACCCUAAACGCUAAAAAAUUAAUCCUGGCUUAAUACUUUCUUCCAUAUCAUGAUAUGUUAACUCUUGUCAGAGAGUUGGUUCUGGCAAAUUGCCAAUGCAUGCCUCCUUAGAGCAGUUUGCUAUCAUUUGAUAAUGACAGUGGAAGUAAUGAGCAAUGACCAUAGCUUGUGAUUGUUUUGGAGGAUUUGAAAAAGAAACUGUGGCCAAGCUCUGUCAAACUGUACGUGACACAGAAACUCCAGAGUAAGAGGACACACUCCUGAGUGAUAAAAGUUCUGAAUGCCAGGAUUCCCAGUAAUAUGCAGUGAGGAGUGCUCUAUAUGAAACAAUCAAAUCUGCAGCUGCUCAUAUUGGUGGAAUAUACUUGAAAACUAUAUGCUUUUAUUUUGAUCAAGUCUUACAAACACACACAAAAAGUACAGAGAAGCUUUUGCUGUGAUAAUUGUUCAUUUAUAUAGAUAUGGUAAAGCAAGUAUUUGAAGACCAACCUGUCACUAACAGAGACCCAUUGUUGUGCGAAAAUGUGGGCUAGGUUUUUCUUUGGUUGAUGAAAUGCAGACUGGGGAGAGAAAGAGAAAGCAGUGUACUGUAAAAUUACUGAUUCCUGUUUAGUACUCGCAGUACUAGUGAUGCCAUGUAGGCAAAAACUGACAUGGUCCUGCUCUGAAGAGUACAUAAAAUCUCAGAGAAGGUUGGGCGUUUUCAGUAGUUGGGACCUUCAACAUUAUGUGUAAUAUAGCAAAGGAUGAAAAAUUAGAGGUGAAACAAUGUCACUAUAGAAGAUUUCAGAUACAUAUUAAAUCACAGAAAAGCAGAAUGGGGAGAGACUCACAGAGUCAUCGAGUUCAUUCCCUGUCCCAAAGUAAGACCUGCUAUUCUUGUGUUACUCCUGACAAGACUCUUGUCUAAGUUGUUCUUAAAAGUUAACAAUGCAUCCAGGCAAUCGAUUCCAAUAUUUGCUAUCAUCUGGGAGACAUCCUCAAACCCUAACGUGGUCCUGAAUCCUUGCUGAAAUUUAAAACCAUUACUUCUUAAUUUAUUCAACAUGAAGAAUGGUGAAAAACUGUCUCCAGUUUGCCUUCAUUUUCAUCUUAUCUUUAGUCUCAGGUAAAACGUACAAAUUGUUUUCCUAUGAACUGCGUCUGAUAGGUUCAGAUCUUUUCUGAAGUGCCUUGCCCCAAGAUGGACACCAGUAGCCUUACAAAGGCUGCAUAGAGAGGAGAUUAAGAGAUUACUCAUCUGUCGUAUACACAGUACCAUUGGUCAUAUUUCGUAGUAAAAUGUUUAUGUGUUUCACAACAGGGUGAGGCUGGCUAAGGUUUAGUGUUCAACCACUGUGGCCCAGUGAAGCUUGCAUAAAGGACAGCUGAGAUGUUGUUCUCUUCUAGUAUAUUAACAUCAAUUUUCUAGAUUUGACUAAGUAUGACUGUCUAUGUAUCCUUUGUGUAUUUUGCUCUGUUUUUUUUUUUCCAGUCUGUUUCUUCAAUUUAUCAGAAUAAUUAUGAAUCCUAUCUUGAAUAAUAUGAAGAAAGAAAGAAUAAAAGAGCCUAAUGGGGCACACUGGAAAGGUCUGUAUAAAAAGCAGUAGAACUCCUACCCAGGCCUAGAGAUUCUUGGAUGGGAUAUUGCUGUUGAACAAUAAAAAAGGCAAUCUAGCUGGAAAUAAAGAGGGUUAGAGAUUGUCUUAAUCAACAAGGUUUAUUUCAGUACAGUCAAGGCUAUUCACACAGUAUAUCUCAGUUUAUUGACAAGUAUCAGUGUGCCUGAGUGUGAGGAAACUUACUUGGAAGGAAACAAAGCAGAAAAUGAGUACAGUGAUUGCAGACGUUCUGUAUACUUCGAGCACAUUUCUCCUCUGUAGCGAAUUUUUCUGUAUCUCAUUGUAGGUGGAAAAAUGUAUUAAGAGAUACAACCUUAAUAGUACCUGAAUGCAGGUACUUUUGGCUCAUAAGUCAUUAUGUAUGUCUUGUCUUCAGUUUUUUAUGUGACAUUCUGCAUUGGUAGGAUUCUGUGAAAGCUACAGAAAUUCUUGGAAGCCAUUGAGUGUUGAAAGACCUGCUAAGUGAGUCCUCCCAGUUGAAAUGUGAUAGGAAAGCAGUCUUUUGGUAAAUACUAUAGAAAUAGGAGCUGUGAUAAUAUGAGACACAAACUAAUAGACAAUUGGAAAGGUGUUGAAACAGUGAAAAAAAAUCUGAUUUCUAGAAUAUAUACAAGUGAAACACAAGUCAGAGUGAAACCAGGCUUACAGCUUGGGAGAUGCACAGUAGAAAAGACAAAAUAGCUGCACUUGAAGAGUGGUGCAGCACUAGAAGAAGUUGCCCCGAGAGGCUAUGGACUCUGGAGGUUACAAGACCCAGCUAGACAAGGCAAUACCUGAUCUAAUCUGGUGUUGAUGCACUCGAGCAGGAGUAUUCAAAAACAGUGUUCAAGUCACUCAGCACACUUGAAGUAUUCUCAAAACAGAUGGAAUAAGCCAGUGCCUAAAAUAGCCCGUGGAAAAUAACUAGGGCCAGAACACAGAGAGUGGUGCAAUUCUGUAAGAAAUGAAAAGCAGUUUUGGCCAGUUGACUCUCACUCCUUGCCUGGGUUAAGAGUUUAGUAAUUUGUUUCUAAAAGUGUGAGAUUACUUUUUAGAGACCCAUAUCAGGUCACUGUUUUCUUCUGAGCAGAUUACUGGAAGUCUUAUCUGCCUAUCCAUUCCUGUUUUUUUGUUUAAGGUAGCCUGGAUUACUGUAUUGAUUGAACUCUGCUUUGGAUAGGGCAGUAUAUAGGGCAAAUGGAGUAAGAUGGGCUGAAAGGUAGAGUAUUUCUCAUCACAAAUGUUGAGGCACACCGAGGCUGUUUGUUGUGGCUCCACACUGACGCAGUUGGAUGAACUAGACUACGCUACAAUCAUGGACUGUAACACCCAGCAGGAAGAAAGAGACAAACCGUCUCACAGAACUUCUGGCUUGCUAGUAAUGUGGUGUCAGCCCGCCUCAUAGUGAAUGUGUAACACAUUGUACUUGUGCUCCAUCAACACAUUUACAGCCGUAUUUAUACCAAUGACCUUCACAAGGACCCGUGUAUGGUCACGGAGGACACGCUGCAUACUGUGAGCCUUACUGCUGUGUCUUGCUGGGCUAUACUGACCAAAAGAACAGUAUGGGAAGGAGGGUGAGUGGAAAAACACAAUGUUGAAAUAAAGUAACAUUCAUCUCUCUCCAAAUUGUUCCGACAAGUUUUUAUAUUGUGACAAAAGCAACCUUGUGACAUGUAAUAGUUCAGUCCUGCUACCUGUGAGAAGGCACUCAGACAGUUGGCACUCAGAGUGUCUUCUCUUAGUUCACAAGGAAAAAAAGUUAAGGCAUGUUUUUCAUGCAAUAUAUUGCCCUGGAUGCCUCAUGAGUGGCAAUACUAGCACAUUAGAAUACUGUAAUGCCUAGAUCUUGUAAUUUAAAAGGAUAGGAUCAAAUCCCAUGGCAGCAAAAUGCAUUUUUCUGGAUUUAUAAUACAAAUAUAUAUAUAUAUAUCCCCUUAUAAUAAAAGAAAUAUGUUAUAAUUUAAUAUAUUGUCUAGCUGUGCUGGAAAAAAUAAAUGCAAAUAUUACUUGUUCUACUCUGGUGGAUCAGAUUAGCUUGAUUUGUCAUCCUCUAAUUAUAAAUGUCCAAGGAAAUGCUGGGUGACAUCCAAGUAUGACAUCUCUGUAUACAGAUACCUGGGACAAAAAUUUCAGUCCAGGUACAGCUGUAUGUUUAGGACAUCAAACAGAUUAUGUGCAUCAAAUGAAUAAGGUACAUGCAUGUGUAUAGCUAUUGAAUCUGUGUGUCAUAGAGGAAUGCAGUGGAUCCUUUUUGGAACCAGAUAUGCAUGCAUGCAAGCAAACAUUCAUGAUAUGUCUAAAUAUAGUGAUCAUUUUGUUGAGAGAAACCUUUGGUCAUCUAGUAGUCUCUAAAGAGUAGCAGUAUGGUAUGUUAAAUAUGUAAGAAAAUGAAAGUUAGCUUAUUUGAGAAUAAAUUGAAUCUUCCAUAAGAAAAUAUAGUACCCAGACAUUCCAGAAGCUUAGGAAAAAUUUUUUCUCACCCUUAGAAGAGGAAGGUUAAAGUGAGGAACACAAGAUAAUGGGAAAGAGUGGGUCAUUCUAUCAGUUUUCUCACAGUUGUUAACAUCAGAUGGGGUUGUGAAUAAUAAGCUGUUUGACUGAGCUGAUAUGCUAUUCUAUCUCGUUUAGAACUAAGAGCUGUAUUACUCUGGAGGAAGAAAAAAACUCCAAAUGUAAAUAUGUCUUCAUAUUCAGGCCACAAAGUGUGAAUGCCAAAUCCUGGAUGCAAGCCAUUGAACAUUAAAGUGGUUGCCAAUGUUCCAGGUGCUCAUAAUUGAGCUAUAAAGGCAACACACCUUUUAGGAAGGUGGUAAGUAUAUGUCUGUCUUUUUAACAUGACUGCUUGAAUUAAUCUGAACUAAGCCUCAGCUUUACAGCAGUACGUUGGAAGAUUCUGAGGGGUAUAAUUUCAAUGCAGAAUUUACUUUAAAAAAGUUUAUUUUUCUACCAAAAAAUUUUCAGAGAGAAAACCUAAUGUGGGGAUAAUUUCUUAUGUCCAACCAAAAAACCAUCUGUAACAAAACCAUCUUUAAAGUUUAUGUUACUAGUUGUUACAUGGUUUUUCUUUAUUGUGCUGUAUGCAAAAGAUAGGUAAAUAUUAAUGCAGAUAACAGAUGGAAAACAUGGGUUUUGUGUUUAAUUUAUUUAUGUGUCGUAAUGCACCAAAUGAGCUGCCAAGCCGGGAUUAGAGUCAAGGGACUUUUUUGACUCCCAUUGCCAUGAAUUUACAUUUAGAAAACAAAUCUCUCAAUGCUGUACAUUUUUCUGUAUUUAAAAAAAAUUGUUUAUAAUCUUUGCCUAAUAUCAAUGUUACUGACAAAUACAAAAUCUUCUCUCUUUUUUCUUUUUUUUCCCCCAAGCAUUUAAUGUCCAACCUGCAAUGUGAUUACUGCUAGGAUUGGUGUAAACAUACAUAGCAGUAUGACAUUCACAGACCUAGUGAUUAGUAGUCCUGAUCUAAAUUGCUGAAAAAACACAUUUUCUUGUGUUUAAUAUGUUUUGGGGUUUUUUUUCCAGAGUCACUCUCAAGAUUGGUAAAAACCAAAAGGCUUGAGAUUUUUCUAAAGUUUAGGAGAUCUGGGUACAGAGUAUUGACUCAGAUUAUAGGGAUGGGCUCCAAAUGAGAGGUUGAGAUCUCUAUUGUUUUAGCAUGUGUUUUGAUCUGGACUGUGGAAAAUGUUUUUUUUUUUUCUAAUUUCCAAACAACUCUAUACAUUCCUGCUGAUAAAAUGCUGCAUACACAUGUGGUGAAUACUUUUAUCAAUACAAAUUUCCCAUCUAUAAUGCAUAUAAAGCUGACAUCUCAGCUAUAGCUCCAGAGACUUAAUUUGCUUCUGAAAUCAGCUCUGCUCUAUGUCAGGAAUAACAUACUGCCAUGGUAAUAAACUGUAAGCUCCCCUUUAUGAAAUGUUAAUAACCCCCUGGAUUCUGGCAAAUUCCUGCUCUUCCACAUGGUGCCAAUUAUAGUGAGACGAAAACAGAGGUAUAUAAAAACUUAGGCAUAUAGUCAGUUUUUGUCCUCAGGCAUGAAUAAUUAGGAUGAACAAGAACAAUCAUUAAUAUAGUAAAUUUUCUCCGUGGGUGCAUCUUCAUAUAUAUGAAAAAUGGGACUGUAUUGAAAAUAGAGUCUGAAUGCAGAGUCUGCAUUUAUUUUUCCUGAAAGCAUUUUACCUGAUUUUUUGUGUGGCUCAUUUUUGCAUAAAUGUAUCAUGACUGUGACAAACACAUGAAAAGCAAGUUUGAUGAGAGCUCAGUCCAACUACUAGCUCAUUGUGUGCUGUCAUGUAUUCUUCUUAUUAAAUUGACUAGUAUUCACAGCCUGGUAUUCCAUCUUUGCUAUUGAUAGAGGUAUCAUUUCACAUCAGGGCCUUAUGGUCAUAUUAUCCUUACUAAAACAGCAAUUGAGUAAACUGUAUUUCUACAAGGCCUGCCCCUACCACUCAAUACAUUUGGCAGGCAGGUUGAUUAUUGAGAAAUCUGAGGUAAAGGGCUCUGUUCUUUGUAAGGCCCAAUCAUGUUGCUGUCAGAGCGUAUAUGGCAGCUUUUUGUGUACUGUUAUCUAGUGGUAAAUAAAAAAGCAAGUAAGUCUGUCUGCCCAGUGUUCUGGACAGGACAGAGAAAAGAGGACAAACUUUGUAUUUCCCAAAUUAGAAGUGAUUAAAUGUCCUCUUCUUGUGUUGCACCCUCCUUAUGCCACUGUAUGUACUUAUGUGCCAUGCCUGAUUGGAAAAUGAGAUCAAGAGGUAUACAGAAACAGAUGUGGAUUUUUUGUUUGAAAAACAAGCUCUAAGUGAUUAAUUCUAGAUAAGAGUCUCUGAAAGUUCUAAUUAAAACUUAAAAUUUCUGUUUCUGUAUUAUCUGUCCAAACUCAUGGACAUUAUCUCUCUGACAUUUGAGUUGGAAGAAAGGACGGUAUGCAGAUA
Long non-coding RNA from Pseudopipra pipra, 9670 nucleotides. RefSeq lists it as uncharacterized. The transcript has 2 exons. NCBI's taxonomy places the organism in Eukaryota, Metazoa, Chordata, Aves, Passeriformes, Pipridae. The record is from RefSeq and is a predicted model, not a curated record.